GAGUUACAAGGGAAGCGAUGUGUCUGACUUCCAGGCUGAGCAUUUCAGAAGCAGUACAAUGACCCUCCAAUGCUCUCCUGUCCCCUCGGCCAUAACAACUGGCACCAGUGAAAAGACAUGGAGCAGAGCUUCCAGCUAACUCGGGAUGGACAUAUAGAGAGCGAGAGGGAGCAGGAAAAAAGUGGUCUUUGUUGUGAAGCCACAGUCCCAAACUUCAACCUAGAGGAAUGUCAAGUCCUGAAAAAAGCUACGGAGAAGGCUUGCAAUUAUGUCCUUAGUCACAACAAGAGGGUAAGAACGUUCAAGGCACUGGAUUGAGAGACACAAAAGUCAGGAAGUGACCCUUUCGUCGGGAUUUCAGAGGCCGCGGAGUAGAAACAAAGUCCUCUCUCAGCUUGGGGCACUUCGGGCGAUACCAUCCCGAGGGGCAGCGUGGGGGAGGCGGGCGAGCGCCGCGGAAACUGACAUCUGCGUGCUCACCGAGCCGCGAGUAAACUGAGGAUGGCCACGCUGAGAAGACUCGGUGGCCGCGGCUCCCCCGCCCAGAAAUGAAACGGGUUUCGGCCGAUCGUCCCUGUGGAGCCCGCUGAAAAAGAAGCCGGGUCGCCCUGGCCAGAGCCGGCCUCCUGAAUCGCGCCCUGUGCGCGCCGGACCGGGCCGCGCGCCCGAGGCUGCAGGAUGGCGUGCCGGGGCCAGCCCAUCUGCGGCCGCGAGGAAGCCGGCCCGGGAUGAAUGGGGCUUUGUUCGCCGGCCGCCGCGGCUGCCCUCGGCAGGCCCGAUCCGCACAACGGAGGCUGUAUGCGAGAGGAAUGGAAAUGAGCCUCCGGCUCUCCCGAAGGAGCCCCAUCCCCUUCCCUUCGCCGUGCGCAGGAAUGCUGGCAAGCCGGAAAGGAACCCUCGCCGGGAACGCCGCUCUCGCGGCUCUGAAACCCCAUUGAGAAGAGCCCUUUGAUGCAAUUAAAGCGCGUUUCAUUGCAGGCCGGGGAGGAGGGAAGGCCCGUCAAGCUUUUUUUCUGUCUCUGGAGCAUGUGUGUGCACCUUUGUAGGGUGGGUUACUUAGAGAGCAGGCGGCAACUUGAGCUCCCUCUCUCUCGCAGACGUUCUGUAACAUCAUAAAAGCGUACCCAUAAACAGAUUGGUUUUCACCGUGGGUGGAACCCAAUUUGGACACGAUCCAGGCUGACCUGCAGGCUAGAGUGCCUGUUUUGAAAGCCUCCUUGGUACGCCUUACACUACCUUGCCUGCUUUAAAGGUUUAGGAGGACGAGAAAUUGCAUUUGGAGGAGGAAGUUGUUUCUGAGGUCGCUGAUCAUUUUCCAUUUUCUCAGCGGGAAUGGGCCACGUCGCAGGUCCAGAAAUGGUCAGAGCCAGACCUCUAAAAUGAUGGAGGCUGCAAAUGUUGAAGGACUACGGUGCGACAGCUAUUUUGAUAAUCAGAUUCUUCUGUAAGAUUUCCUUAAUUCCUCCAUUGAGACAACUGUGUGGCCCCAGAAAACCCACAUGGCCUCUCUGAGCUUAAUAUUUUUCAUCCGUUGAAAUGAAUCUCAUAAGGCUAGAGAACAGACGUAAAGCUCUGGGUGCUUGUGAAUUCUUUCUAAAUUGGAGGUGAGCGCCUUAUCUACUCACACGUGAAAGAUGUAUGGGACUGGAACUCCAGGAAACAUCUGUGUAAAAAGAUUCUAUCCGGUCUUGUUUUGUUGAAUUUGUGCCAUUUAUUACUAGGACUAAUAGUCUAAUGUUUAUCUCUCUCCAAUGAGAACACGAACCUGUCUUUUUUCCGGUAUCGUCUGUGCCCAGGGCAGUCCCUGACCAUCCUAAGUGGGCAACAGAUAUGUUGAAUGAACAAAUAAAUCCAGAAAUGUAAUGAAUUAAUACUCACGUUGGCUUUUUUCUGUCACUUAUAAAUCUAAACGAGGAAUAGGGGGAGCUAGGUGGGUACUGAGGCUCCUUGGCUAGGCAGAAAUUCAGGACAAGUUUGAAGAAAAGUGUAGGAAAACAUUUUUGAAAGCACAAACAUGC
This is a long non-coding RNA of Equus caballus (horse), 2018 nucleotides long. Lineage: Eukaryota; Metazoa; Chordata; Mammalia; Perissodactyla; Equidae. The record is from Ensembl.